This 67-nucleotide transfer RNA is filed under the name Danacetichthys galathenus. RNAcentral's name for it is "tRNA-Ser (AGY)". Lineage: Eukaryota; Metazoa; Chordata; Actinopteri; Beryciformes; Cetomimidae. The record is from RNAcentral.
GAGAGAGGCAUGAAGCAGUGGGAACUGCUAAUUCCUACCCCCUCGGUUAGAGCCCGAGGCUCACUCG